This 474-nucleotide ribosomal RNA is filed under the name uncultured organism. Its description in RNAcentral is "partial 16S ribosomal RNA". It matches the Rfam family "Bacterial small subunit ribosomal RNA", at positions 332 to 797 of the family's 1533-position model. The record is from RNAcentral.
UACACUCCUACGGGAGGCAGCAGUGGGGAAUUUUGGACAAUGGGCGAAAGCCUGAUCCAGCAAUGCCGCGUGAGUGAAGAAGGCCUUCGGGUUGUAAAGCUCUUUUGUCAGGGAAGAAACGGUGAAAGCUAAUAUCUUUUGCUAAUGACGGUACCUGAAGAAUAAGCACCGGCUAACUACGUGCCAGCAGCCGCGGUAAUACGUAGGGUGCAAGCGUUAAUCGGAAUUACUGGGCGUAAAGCGUGCGCAGGCGGUUUUGUAAGUCUGAUGUGAAAUCCCCGGGCUCAACCUGGGAAUUGCAUUGGAGACUGCAAGGCUAGAAUCUGGCAGAGGGGGGUAGAAUUCCACGUGUAGCAGUGAAAUGCGUAGAUAUGUGGAGGAACACCGAUGGCGAAGGCAGCCCCCUGGGUCAAGAUUGACGCUCAUGCACGAAAGCGUGGGGAGCAAACAGGAUUAGAAACCCGAGUAGUCCCA